GCCGCAGUGCUGGAACUGGUAGACAGGCCAGCUUGAGGGGCUGGUGUUCGUAUGAACGCAAGGGUCCAAAUCCCUUCUGCGGCACAA
RNAcentral lists this transfer RNA (87 nucleotides) under Candidatus Falkowbacteria bacterium CG_4_10_14_0_2_um_filter_36_22. Its description in RNAcentral is "tRNA-Leu". It matches the Rfam family "tRNA". Rfam says of the family: Transfer RNA (tRNA) molecules are approximately 80 nucleotides in length. Their secondary structure includes four short double-helical elements and three loops (D, anti-codon, and T loops). The record is from RNAcentral. Lineage: Bacteria; Candidatus Falkowiibacteriota.